UGAAACGGCCGCGCAGGUCUCCGCAUUUCCCGUACCUUCGCCAUCAUGUUUGAAGAGUGACCUUCAUUCAAGUGAGGAGGUACGAUUCGACAUCCUCGUAGCAGCUCCUUACUACUGCCAUACCGUUCCUCCAACUCUAGGGGGUCAGUGGUGUGACCGCUCCGGAGUGCAGACUGUCGGCCGGCUGGUGGUGUGAGCAAACUUCCACAUCUUUCACUGAAGCAAGCUGGCCUCUCCUCCCUUCCAUUUUUGAGUGACCCGCCACAGAAAGAGUCCGACAUGGUGGAACUCGACCCUGCCCGUAGAGGAGGCACUGGGCUACUUCCGCGGAGCAAUCGCAACAACACUCAGUGCUACUUGUAGUCUACAUUCUAUCCAUGACUAAGCUGUGACAUAGUUUAUUUGAUCACAUUGAACAACUCUUGCGAUUUCGUAGCGCCCUUCUCAACCACAACUGAGUGAAGCACACGGACGAACUCAGCUGGGUUUUUUGACUGAAACGAGACUGUCAGCCGAAGCGCUUCAGCCUCCCGUAUAUCAGGUCGUGCCCCACGGGCAUCAACGACCUGUACAUUUUUAGCGACAGAACACAAUCACUUUAGAGUGAUGAGCGUCUUUUGCGUCCGUUGCUUGUUGUCUAAAAAUCAACCGAGGUCCAGUCUUCUUGAACAGGAUUCCAGGACACCGUGCUGAAGCAGCAGUAAACAUCUCUCAGGGUUGUAGACUCUUGAGACAUCACCGUCUUCGCCCCCCAUUACGGCUACAGAACACGUGGAACGGAACGAGCAACAGAUGCUUGCAUCGAACUUUGUGCCAGUCCAAGCUACAGCGGGUGGCACUUGGUUACCUAAACACUGAAAUUGGAAGGGGGGGCUGUCCUGCUCUAGUUAUGUGCAUGCGCCCACGAAAUAACUUUUCUCCGAAUCCAUGAUUAAUUUCAUGCAUUUUCGCCUAAACGCUGAUGUGGAGGCAGGAUAAUCAGUACAAUUUAUUGACUGCAUGUGUUGUAGGGGUUUCAGCGAGCGACUUCCAUUUCACCCAACAGCGUGCAUUAUUGUGACGUUACGUUCCUUACAAAUAUCAUGGUCCGCC
This 1092-nucleotide long non-coding RNA is filed under the name Toxoplasma gondii VEG. Lineage: Eukaryota; Apicomplexa; Conoidasida; Eucoccidiorida; Sarcocystidae. The record is from RNAcentral.